UUCUUGUGAGAGGAUUAACAGUGGCGGGGACGCCUCUUCUACUAGCACUUUAACGGUUGGACCAAAGCCUCAUUUCUACAGUCCCUUCACCCACCCAUCUGCAGCUUGCUAGGCCAACCUAUAUAUAUGAGCCCUGAACACCAGUAUUAUUUUUAUUGAUGGCUUCAUGUGUCAUAUAAUGAUCAAGGACUAGAUACUUAAACUAAUUUUGUAGAGUCUCCUCCUUCCGUCCCUUUUCUCUCUAUCUCUCUAGCUCUUUU
RNAcentral lists this unclassified non-coding RNA (260 nucleotides) under Hevea brasiliensis (rubber tree). The record is from RNAcentral. Lineage: Eukaryota; Viridiplantae; Streptophyta; Magnoliopsida; Malpighiales; Euphorbiaceae.